UACGGAGGGUGCAAGCGUUGUCCGGAAUCACUGGUCGUAAAGGGCGCGUAGGCGGCUCAUGAAGGCUGUGGUGAAAGUCCGGGGCUCAACCUCGGAUCGGCCGUGGCGACUCGUGGGCUGGAGCACUGUAGAGGCGGGUGGAAUUCCGGGUGUAGCGGUGGAAUGCGUAGAGAUCCGGAAGAACACCAGUGGCGAAAGCGGCUCACUGGACCAUAACUGACGCUGAUGCACGAAAGCUGGGGGAGCAAACAGG
RNAcentral lists this ribosomal RNA (253 nucleotides) under uncultured bacterium. Its description in RNAcentral is "partial 16S ribosomal RNA". It matches the Rfam family "Bacterial small subunit ribosomal RNA", at positions 524 to 776 of the family's 1533-position model. The record is from RNAcentral.